CGGCCCCUCUCCUCCAGGCUGUGCAGCUGUUCGUUCUCCCACUGCAGACCAGGAUGAGGAGGGGGAGGAGUCACAACCAAAGACCGUCAUCUGAACAGUUUGUUUUUGGGUCACAUGACUGCAGCUUCCUCUGGUGACCUCGGCUCUGAAAACACAUCUAUGCACAGUUCUGUGAGCCGUAAAACAGUCGGAUGGAGAAACGGUCUCCAGUGGGUGGGUGGAGGUGGCACCAGAGGGAGCGGACUGCUGGAUCUGCUGAGCCUUGAUGAGUCAGAACCAACCGGAUCUCUGCUGAAGGACUUUGUUCUUAUCUGGAUUCUGGAGGAGGUCCGUGUUUGAACAUGGUCCAUCGCUGUCAUCUAUUCACCUUUGCACAUUCAUUUCAUCUCUCCUGCUUUUGUUGCAGGCUGGUUUGUGAGAGGUGGGGGCUCGUCCGGGACAGGGACUGGGAGCUGAUUAAAGGUUCUCAAUGACUCCUUCAGGUUAGAUCAGAUUAAAUGGAUCUCUAUGAUGAAGACUUUAUGCUGGAAACAUUUCUAUUCGUCUUUGUUCUCUGCUUGAAAAGCUCGUUUCGUUCUGGUGAUUUUGAAGAAAACGUCCUCAGAAAAGUCUCAUUAGCAGGAAACCUGAGGAAGUGGACUCUGUUCCAACACUCACUGCAGCAGCCUUUGGUGUGAAGAUCUGAUGAGGGACAAACUCCUGCAGAGGACGUUUAACGAGGCUGAAGCCCCCGUCAGUGCUGAAUCAGAGACGGGGAGGAAGUCCGGACUCGCCUCCUCCUUCUGUGCUCCGCUGACUGCAGGAGCAGGUGGAGUUUAGCUGAAAGGAGGAGGAGAACCGCUGACCCGUCGGUCCUCACAGAGGCUCCUGUCAGCUGAAGCAGUUCUGGUGGGAGGAGCUGAGAAAAGGUCAGAAUGUGAAGCUGAGAUUAUCUCUAUUCUCAGAGCAGCAGAGCGCCCCCUGCAGUCCCUCUGAGACUGCGUUUCCUUCUGGCACGAGAACGUUCUUCAGGAGGUUCCUGCCGGUUCUUUUGGUUUUCACUCUUGGAGACCAGAUUCUUCAUGAAGCUCCUUCAGGUCAGAUUGAGAUCCUUGGAUCAGUGACGUCAUUCUGAAGGAUUAAAGCUCCAUUUAGACCUCAUGCUGGUCUUUUACCUCUUUUGAAAACGUUACAGUGACUUUUUUACUCAGAAGGUUUUACAUUUAAAACAUUUCAACAUUCUUCAAGCUAACUCAGUUCAGUCUGAAGCUCUCCUGGAUCUGUUCUUCAGCGGCUUCAGUGUGUCAGAAAUAAGACGGCAGUUUUCUUUACCCGUCUUUGCUUUUUCAUUUUGCUGCAGCGUUUCUACAAAGCUUUGCUCGGUGCGGCGAGAAGCACGGCUGCCUCAGAACAAGAAGGUUCUGGUUCAAAUCCAGAGUGACCCCCCCUUCAGCCCCGUGAACCUGCAGAGGACCGUGAGGGAACCGGAGACGCGUGGCGGUUUGCUGGGUUUCUACAGGAAAUGGAAUGUUUAGAUGAAAUAUGGAUUCAGGACGAUGAUGGGAAUGCUGCACUCUGAUGUCAUGCAGGCUUUCAAAGUAAGAGCGUGGAGGUAAACUCAGCGUCCGUCUUUAGUUUCUGCAGUAAAAACUCUGACGCUCAGCAUCCUCUUUCCUCUCUGGGUCAUUCUGCUGAAUAUUAUGUUCAGAUGAAAUAAUUAUGAGUCUCACCUGUCACAUGACUCACACCUGUGAGGCCCGCCGCCUUUCUGUCACGGCCGUCACAAUCAUGCUAAUUCAGGAAGCGGCGUUUAUCAGCCCAAACAUUCUCCCACAUGAAAGGGAAAUCUGGAGCGGCGUGCUGCCGUGGGAUUACGGCGAGGCUCUGCGGCGCAGCGUUAAGCCCAGACGAAUAUGCUAAUGGAAGCUGCCGCCCCUCUGCACGUCCUGCUCCUCACGCGUGUUCUCCUGCACACGGAGGUGAGCCUCUGGCCAGACGGCUGUCACUCUGCUGAUGGCUGACUGACAGGUGUGAGAGGAGCUCUGAUGACCGACCAGCACCCCACACCCCCAGAGUGGGACCGUGACCCCCUCCGUCAGCCGUGGAGCCGUGUUUGGAGGUCACUGAGGAUGAUGCACGGGAUGAAGGCUGCGUUCACAAACAUCUGUGAAACCAGGAGAAUCUCUGACAUCAUGACAGUCCAUCCAUGUUUGGACCAGAACCAGCUUCUGGUGCAAAAACUGCACGUUUCCCAGAGGACACCUGUGCAGGUGAGGUCUGUGAUGAUGCGUCUGAGAAGGUCCCUUUACCUCCCGGUGGCGCUCUUCAUCCACGCUCCUGGUCUCAGCGGGUUCUAAGCUCAGUGACUUCAGUUCAAAUUCUUUUUGUUUAUGCCGUUACCACGGCAACAGUUUUGUAGGGAAGGUGGUUCUCCUCCUCCUUUGGUUCUCCUCCUCCCUUUGGUUCUCCUCC
Non-coding RNA from Oryzias latipes (Japanese medaka), 2451 nucleotides. NCBI's taxonomy places the organism in Eukaryota, Metazoa, Chordata, Actinopteri, Beloniformes, Adrianichthyidae. The record is from RefSeq and is a predicted model, not a curated record.